Long non-coding RNA from Vicia villosa (hairy vetch), 793 nucleotides. RefSeq lists it as uncharacterized. Lineage: Eukaryota; Viridiplantae; Streptophyta; Magnoliopsida; Fabales; Fabaceae. The record is from RefSeq and is a predicted model, not a curated record. The transcript has 3 exons.
UAUCUAUCUCUCUCUCUCUCCCUGUUUUCCAACUACUUUUCUUUCAUUAUUUUCUCUCUUUACUUGCUGCUUCUCUUUCAUUUCUAUUUCUUUCUUUCUUUCUUCUUCAAUUAUAUCUAUCGAUAAGAACACGAAAACGGAUAGUAAAAAACGUCAACAAUGUUUGUGAAAACAUAAAUUGUGGCGGUGGUUUUGUCUCGUGCGACCGAGAAUAUGACUAAUGUGUCAAGAAAGAUAUGAAGUUAGGGAGAAGAAAAGUAACAACAAGGCAAAUGGUUAAUGGUGUUGUGUUUUUGUGUUUUAAAGGUUAAAAUCCUUUUUUAUUUGUUUUUUUAAUUUGAAUUUUGAGUUUUUGAUGUAGAGGCCAAGAGGAUUGAAGGCUAUGGAAACUAUGAAAUGUGACUUAGAAUAAUAUUGCAAAGGGGAUGAUGGAUCUAUAACAACAUUCAACAUCUAAACUAUUAUGGAAGAUGGAAGAAAAUGGUGAUGAUAUUAUGAGGGAAUGAUUCAAUUUUUUUUUUAAUUUAUAAAUUUUACUUUUUCUUAUCAAUUUUUUUGUUUUGUACGGAAAAACUUAAUGAUUUUGUAAAUUUUAGUUAUGAUUUCAUUUAUUUGAAUGAUUUUUAUAUGUAAUGGUCCAUAAAGAAGAGAUUGAAAAUUAAAAGCAUGAUGAUGUAAUAUUAGUAUAAUCAUCCUUUUAAUCCAUUUUUCAUAAGAAGAGAAAUAAUUUAUCAUACAUUAGAGAUAUGAGGUUUUACUGUGGUUGACCAUCAUACAAAAUAUUAUUUUAUUA